CUAGGGUACUACAUAAAUUACCACUGAGCUAGUCGCUUUUUUCUGUGCUUUCCCUGUUUGAAGAGGAUGGAAGUAGCUGAUUCCUUUCUAAUUAUUAUUUGAAGGUGCAGUCUGGAAUCCAUUGUUGAGGGAAUAGACCCCGAUUAAAGAAAACGGGGAGAAUAUUUUCAUGUUUAGCAAAGGUACACAAGAGAUGCGAACUAAAAAUAGUCUGUGGCUACUUCGUCUGCAGCAUAACCUCUCUGCAUGUAUCUAUCUGCCUAUUGAUUUGCCCACCAGCAUCAUAGAAUUUCUAAGUGUCUGAGAACCAGUGCUUCAUACUCUGUGCCUCUUUGAAGUAGACUGAAGUAGCUGCAUACAGGUGAUCCUGUUUGUAAAAAUCAAAGAUCUAACAGCCUCCUUUUCCGUGGAAUAAAUA
This 418-nucleotide long non-coding RNA is filed under the name Chrysemys picta bellii (western painted turtle). Its description in RNAcentral is "lncRNA (ENSCPBG00000019524.1)". The record is from RNAcentral. Lineage: Eukaryota; Metazoa; Chordata; Testudines; Emydidae.